CCCCUCUCCCCGCACCCAAGGCAGCCUCGGGCCCCACAGGCGGCAGCCUGGCUCGUCACGUGUCCCAGACACGCUCACGUUCUGCGCAUUCCCUGUCGCUGCCCCGCCGCCUCACCUCUGGCUGCGGUCGUGCCGCUAGCCUCUCCCUGUCCCCGUCUGCGCAGACGCCCCGCUCCGCUCGCACCCGGCCCACGCUUCCCUCCACAGCGGGCGUCAGCAGGCCACAGCCCCCUUUCCACGCCUGGGCUUCUUUACACGCGGCACCCGGCGCAAGCUUUCCCUGUGAAUCCACGCCCCAAGUCCCUCCGUGUUGCCGUCUGUGUGUGGGGUCCCCUCAGCUCGGACCGCCGUCCCCAGGCCACUUGUGUGAGCCGCUCCUCACUGUCCUCCCCUUCCUCACCCCUGCCCUGACCACGGGCCUCCCUGCAGCCUGGACGGGGCACUGCUCCUGUCUGCAGGGCUCAGGCCCGCUGCUGGCCCUCUGUGUGUCCUCUGUGUGUCCCCGUGAGGGUGGCGUGCCCACCUCCUCGCUGACCCGCAGCCCAGAAUGAACACUCAUCGUGCGGAGACUAAGCGAGGUGCUCCAAUCCGCAGAGCUCGGGCGCUGCAUUCCGUCUCCGAGUCAGCAUGCCUGCUCAUGCGUCAGCGCCUUUGGCCAUGCUGUUCCCUCUCCCGGGCAUGCCCUUCCCUUCCGCUUCUGCUCAAGAACUUCUAUCAGCAGGCUCAGCCCACGUGCCUCCUCUGCUGUGGUCCUUCCCUCAGCACCCCCCAGACAGCUAACCCUCCCCUGCCACCCCCUGUCCUGUGGGUAUGGCAGCGAGGGAGCGAAGCAUGAAGCAGUGCGAAGUAGUGGGAGGCAGCAUGCAACAGCAUGGAGCAGCAUGGAACAGACACGGAAGAGUACGGAGCAUCCUGGAACACCACAGAGCAGCUGGGGGCAGCAUGGAACAGCAUGAAGCAGACUUGGAACAGCACGGACAGCUUGGAGCCGCCUAGGUCCUUGGCGCUCACAAUAGGGAGCAUCGUGUAGGGUGCGGCCUCUGCGCUGAGAAGUGGGAGGAAGAGCCCAGUAGCCUGAGUGAGGCGCUCUGAAGACCGUGGCUUCCAGAGCGUGGGUCUCUCCGGACUCUGCAGAAUCCCAAGAGCCCCUCCCGAGGCGCGCACACUGGCCCUCGCACGGCUCAGCGCCGCGCCGUAGGGUGCUGGCCGAGUUCUCCUGACCAGCGGGGCAGGGGGGGAGCGAGGUCAGUGCGAGCCUCAGCCCGUCCACGUGCUGACGGUCCACGCGGUCAGCGUGCACACCCGAGGCCACGGCAGCGCCAGAUGCAUGUCAACAGGAAAAGCGCUCUGCUGUUCCCCACCCCCCGCCCCCUGUACUCAAGGUUGUGUUCGCCAACGGCUGCAUUGAAGAUUAAAGCCAUGUCCUUUUCAA
Suricata suricatta (meerkat) is the source of this 1432-nucleotide long non-coding RNA. RefSeq lists it as uncharacterized. NCBI's taxonomy places the organism in Eukaryota, Metazoa, Chordata, Mammalia, Carnivora, Herpestidae. The transcript has 2 exons. The record is from RefSeq and is a predicted model, not a curated record.